This 320-nucleotide ribosomal RNA is filed under the name uncultured fungus. RNAcentral's name for it is "eukaryotic LSU rRNA". The stretch from base 1 to 52 matches the Rfam family "5.8S ribosomal RNA", at positions 103 to 154 of the family's 154-position model. The record is from RNAcentral. Lineage: Eukaryota; Fungi.
AACGCACCUUGCGCCCAUUGGUAUUCCGAUGGGCAUGCCUGUUUGAGUGUCUUGAAAUCAUCAAGCCCGUUCGGUUUCACCGCCGAGCGGGGUUGGACUUGGGGGCUUGCCGCUUCGCCGCGGCUCCCCUUAAAUGCAUCGGUUUCGGGUCUCUGUGGGAGUCACCCCUUGGGCGUUGUAUAACCCUCGCUGUCUGGGAACUCCACGCGACGUCCGCGUCGUUGAAGGGCCUUGAAGAAACCUCGACCUGCUGUAGAGUGGCGGUCAAUGUUAAAUCGAGAUCUGACCUCAAAUCAGGUAGGACUACCCGCUGAACUUAA